RNAcentral lists this long non-coding RNA (1399 nucleotides) under Olea europaea (common olive). RNAcentral describes it as "long non-coding RNA (OEUR_LNC010003)". The record is from RNAcentral. Lineage: Eukaryota; Viridiplantae; Streptophyta; Magnoliopsida; Lamiales; Oleaceae.
UCUCUCUCAUUUUCGCUUCUCUCAUUUCCACAUAUCCCACAAUCUCUGCAUCUCUCUCUCCUCCCACUCCUUUCCUUUCCCUGUUUGCAUCUCUCUCUUCCGACUGCGCCGUGGGUUUGCAUCUUGACUCUCUACACUGUGCGUGAAUAGGUCUAUCGUCCGUGGUCUGUCAUGAGUGGUGCAUCUGUGGUCUACCGUCUUCAAAGGUAUGUAACAUUGUCAUUUGGUUUCAGUUGUUUUCUUUUGGUGUUAGUGCUUUAUUUCGGCUCCAUGAAUUCUGAUUUAGGGAUUCUUCAUUCCUAUAAUGUUUUCUGAUUUAGGGCUUUUUGAUUUAGGGAUGUAGGGCUUUUUAAUUAACAUAAAUCACAGAAACUUUGAGCUUUUAUAUUCUUGAAUUCUUACUUGUUUCUUGAAACUCAUGUAUUUUGUUCUUCAAUUUGCUCCUUCUUCAAACGGCAAAAUUUUCUUCGCAUUUUCAAAUUUCUGCUUUUUCCCCUCAAUUUUCUGUUCUUAAUCAGAAAAUGGAAACUGUUUUUCUUUGUUUUGUGUUAGAUUGUAAGAAUAUUGUCUUUGUAUUAUUUAGAUUGUGUCCACAGCAUAGAUGCACAAUGCAUGUUAGAAGAGUAAGAAUAAAGGUAAAAAUAGCCAUUGGAAUUUGAUAUAGUAUAUCAAAGGUGGCCAAGUAAUUGAACUAGUUGUGAAAUUUGGUCAAUCAUUUAUUAUAUUCAUGUUCUCUCAGUUUGCUUUAGUGUAAGUUCCCUUUAUACUUUUAGUGCCUCCUUUUAGUCCUUGUUUUCGUGGUCUUCUCGAUCUGGGUUUUCAUUGAAUACACUGUUUUAGUGUUCUUAAUGGAGGCUAAAUUAUUUUGAGUAAAAUUAGAAUGAGAUCUAUUUAAUGUUAAUAUUCUAAUCUAGCAAGUUAUUUUGAAGAAUGAGAGGUGAUAUACCUGGAAAACAUCGAAUGAGUGCCUUAAAAUCCUUUCCAUAUAUACCUUACUAUACAAGGAGUUGAACCUUGCCCCUCCCCUCUCAACAAGAAAAGAAAAUAGAAGCAGCUUUUACCUGCCUGCUAAACAAGAAAAAAAAAAUAAAAGAACUAGAAAAUAAAAGAGAACAGUACCUCCUAAUCAAGUAAGUUUCUGGUAUGGUAUGGAUCAUUUCUGCAUGGAUUUUUUAGAACAGUACCGCCUAAUCAAGUAAGUUUCUAGUAAGUUUGGUAAGCUUUUGCUAUUUGACAUUUCACUUGAAGACUUUUGAGCAAUUGGUGGUAUGUGACUAUAAUUAAACACAUUAUUUGAUGAUAAUUUGAUUUAUAUCAAUAUAGCUUCAACAUGGGUGGUCACAGAGUAAGGAAUGAAGAACCAGUGUCAUGGUCAGAUGAGAAUGAACAAGCUUUUAUC